RNAcentral lists this ribosomal RNA (1422 nucleotides) under Triticum aestivum (bread wheat). RNAcentral's name for it is "partial small subunit ribosomal RNA". The record is from RNAcentral. Lineage: Eukaryota; Viridiplantae; Streptophyta; Magnoliopsida; Poales; Poaceae.
AUGGAGAUGGAUUUUGUCUCAGGCCCUUCGUGGCACGAGGCGUGGGCGCAGCGGCUUCUUCAUGACGACGGUGAACUCGUUCUUCUCGGCGAAGUCCACCUCCUCGCCGGCGACCUCCUGCCACUCGAACUCCCUCACCAUGUUGGCCACGAAGUACUCCAGGUGGAGCAUGGCGAUGCCCAGCCCGGCGCAGAUCCUCCGGCCCACGCCGAACGGCAUCAUCUUGAUCUCCCGGUUGCCGGUCACGUCCACCGCUUCGCCCGCGCCGCCUGGCAGGAACCGCUCUGGCACGAACUCCGUUGGCUUCUCCCACUCCCGCUCGUCCCUGCUCAUCUCGGCCACCAUGAAGUUCAUCGUCGCCCCCUUGGGAAUCAGGUAUCCGCCGAUCUCCAUGUCCGCCGCCGCCUUGUGCGGCAGCACGAAGUGCGCCGGUGGGUGCUUCCGGAGGCCCUCGAGGACCACCGCCUUGAGGUACGGCAUCUUGUGGACGUCCUCCUCCGAGACCUCGUCCUGGUCGUCCCCCUUCGUGGCGCUGAUCUCUUUGUAGAGCUUCUCCUGGAUGGCCGGGUUCUUCACCAGCUCGGCCAUGAUCCACUGCAGCCCGGUGGAGGUGGUGUCGGUCCCGGCGUCGAGGAACUCGGAACAGAGGUUGAUCAUCUCGUCGUCGGUGAGCGGGCGGUUUCCCUCCUCGGGGAGCUUUAUGUCGAGCAGGGCGUCGACGUAGGAGUGCUCGAACGCGCUCUCUUUCUUGGGCUCGCCGCCGAGUUUUCUGUACUCCCGCCGAGCGUUGAUCAGCGGCACGAACAGGUCCUUCUUCCUCCGCUGCAUGGCGUGCACGGUCUGGAGGCGGUCGCGGUAGAGAUGCUUGGUCACCGACGGCAGGAAGGAGAAGAUGGCCAUCUUCCUCGACCUGUAGAUGAGCACGAGGAGGCAGAACAUGGCGUACUGGAACGUCUCCACGACGGCCGCGCCGCCGGACGACGACUCAUCACGCAGCUUCUCGGCCAGCACGCGGCGCACCCAGGAGCGCGCGGGCGCGAAGAGGCGGACGCGGGACGGGUGCAGCGUCUCGGAGACGAGGUUGCGGCGGAGGAGGCGCCAGACAGGCCCGUAGCUGGCGCGCGUGAUGGUGUUGUUGUUCUCGCCCAGCAGCUUGAGCGAAGGGAGCGCGGGGCGGUCCGCGAGCGUGGCGCCGCGCUCAACGAGCGCCGCGUGGGCCAGGCGGCGGUCGGCGACGAAGAUGGAGAGGCGGGACCCCACGCGCAGGGACACGAUGGGGCCGUAGCGCUUGAAGAGGCGCCGGAGCAGGGGCUCAACGUCGGCGGGCGAGUUGGUCAGCCACACGACGCUGCCCAGCACCGGCAAGGACGGCGGGCCGGGCGGGACGCGGAGCCGGCCGCCCUUGCGGCCGCGGAGGAGUAG